Molecule: ribosomal RNA, 238 nt
Filed under: uncultured bacterium
Lineage: Bacteria
Description: partial 16S ribosomal RNA
Rfam family: Bacterial small subunit ribosomal RNA
Source: RNAcentral
GAUCAUGGCUCAGGAUGAACGCUGGCGGCGUGCCUAACACAUGCAAGUCGAGCGAGAAGCUCAUGACGGACGCUUCGGUUGAAGUCACGAGUGGAAAGCGGCGGACGGGUGAGUAACGCGUAGGCAACCUGCCCUUUGCAGAGGGAUAGCCUCGGGAAACCGGGAUUAAAACCUCAUAAUACCGCAGUGAGACAUCUCACGGCGGUCAAAGAUUUAUCGGCAAAGGAUGGGCCUGCGU